Molecule: long non-coding RNA, 1185 nt
Filed under: Cyclopterus lumpus (lumpfish)
Lineage: Eukaryota; Metazoa; Chordata; Actinopteri; Perciformes; Cyclopteridae
Description: lncRNA (ENSCLMG00005018571.1)
Source: RNAcentral
AUGAAACCUUUUUGCCUGGUGCUCUUUGAAGUAAAGUUUGCUCCUGCUGUUGGAACAGGAGCGCCUGGAGAAGGAGAAGAAGCUGUCCAAAGAUCUGGGCCAGGCGGCCACCAAGCUGCAGCAGCUACUCAAAGCCACCCAGGAACAGCUGACCAAAGAGAGAGACACAGUGAGAACACUUCAGAAGCACCUGGAAGGAAAGGAGGAAUACGUAGAGCUGAAGGAAGGAACAUCCGUCUGAGAGGAAGUUUACUGCAGACACUACAAAGAAAAACUACCAAAUAUGCCUUAUGAUUACCAUAGUUAUGCAUUCCAAACUAUUUCUUUCUUGUACUGUAGUUGAUUGCAUUUGUUGCAACUGUAGGAAUCAAAUGUUUGAUAUUAUGAACUUUUUAUUUAGGCAAGAUUAGAGGAGAUGAUCUACUACAAUCUUUAUUGAAACCCACAUUCCAUCACCAAUUCUGGCUAUGUCAGAAGUUAUUUAUCCCCCUGCCUUUAUAUUCCAGACAUUUACCCAUAGUUCAGUGUUAAAAAGGGAAACAGAUUGUACGUCAAACGUACAUCAACCUGUGCAAUUACUUUGUAUGUCUUUUCUAUGUGAUUGAAUGAUGGGAACAUUUUAUGGUUCAAUGUUUCAUUCCCUUUAGGGCCUGCUUUCCUCUGUAGCUGGCUGCCAAUUACACACAUCGAAUUUGUAUGAAUGAAUAAACUACAGUGUAGCUCUGUCAUUGUUGUUCGGUGUCACAGUUACUGCAAUGAGUGCGGGCAGGAAGCAAAGUUGAGUGUUAUACUUUGACAUGGUUUCAGAUCCGGUAAUGUGUGUGCUGAUCGUACAUCUGAUUCUCUCAGGAAGACUACAUUUUAAAAGUUAUACUAUCCUGCCGGGGUUGUAGAACAACAAGCAAGAUGUUGUAGGUUCCUCGGUGUCUGACAGGAAGUCCUGCUACGCUGCAACAUCCUUGCAGUUUAGGCCACAUACUGUUUUACAGCAACAUGUAGGGUUAUAAAUGUUAGUGUUAUGAACUAUAGUUGCUCUGUUCUGUCUUUUUUAAAGCCUGGUGAAAGUGGCAUUGCUUAACGCUUUACACAUUCUAAGGUUCAGGUUGCAUCAGUGAUUACAGACAAGGAAGUAAAUUACAAGAUGUACAAGCCAUGUAUGGUUUGAUUUUGGGCACGAUCUGUCAG